GUCCACGCCGUAAACGAUGAGCACUAGAUUUGGGGGGAUUUGACCCCUUCCGAGUCGCAGCUAACGCAUUAAGUGCUCCGCCUGGGGAGUACGGUCGCAAGACUAAAACUCAAAGGAAUUGACGGGGGCCCGCACAAGCGGUGGAUUAUGUGGUUUAAUUCGAAGCAACGCGCAGAACCUUACCUGGGCUUGAAAUCCCGAGAACCUGCCUGAAAGGGCGGGGUGCUCUUCGGAGAAUUCGGUGACAGGCGCUGCAUGGCU
Molecule: ribosomal RNA, 261 nt
Filed under: uncultured bacterium
Lineage: Bacteria
Description: partial 16S ribosomal RNA
Rfam family: Bacterial small subunit ribosomal RNA
Source: RNAcentral